This 338-nucleotide unclassified non-coding RNA is filed under the name soil metagenome. RNAcentral's name for it is "partial contains 5.8S ribosomal RNA, internal transcribed spacer 2, and large subunit ribosomal RNA". The stretch from base 1 to 120 matches the Rfam family "5.8S ribosomal RNA", at positions 35 to 154 of the family's 154-position model. The record is from RNAcentral.
GAUGAAGAACGUAGCGAAAUGCGAUAAGUAGUGUGAAUUGCAGAAUUCAGUGAAUCAUCGAAUCUUUGAACGCACAUUGCGCCCCUUGGUAUUCCAUGGGGCAUGCCUGUUCGAGCGUCAUUUACACCCUCAAGCUCUGCUUGGUGUUGGGCGUCUGUCCCGCUGCUUUGCGCGGACUCGCCUCAAAGGUAUUGGCAGCGAUCAUGCCAGCUUCUCGCGCAGCACAUUGCGCUUCUUGAAGUUCUGGUGGAUCAGCGUCCAUUAAGCCCACUUCCACAGUUUGACCUCGGAUCAGGUAGGGAUACCCGCUGAACUUAAGCAUAUCAAUAAGCGGAGGA